UAAUUUAAUUUAUAUCAUUUAAUACUUUAAGUUAAAGAUAAAGAAAAAAUAAUUAUAUUAUCAUGAAUUUUCAAUUAGAGUAAUUUAUUGAAAAUCAAUUAGUAUUUUUAUACUACAAAUAAUAUUUUAAAGUAACUUUAGAGAUUAAAUUAGUUUUUCAAUAUUAAUAUCUUAUGCUCUAAUUUUAUUAAAAUUAUCAAAUUAUCCUUAUACCUAAUUUUUACCAAAACCCUAAAUCCCCAAAAUAUCACGCUAAUCCUAAUUCUACCCUAACCCUUAGCCACCACCGCCACACCCCCCAAACCCUUCAGCCAAACUUCAGCCACUAACCAAGAAAGAAAUGAAAAAAAAAAGAAAGAAAGGGGGAAAGAGGGAACGGGAGAGCAGAGGGGAAGAGAGAUCGGUGAGGGAGAAGAGUAGAGGGAGGAGCUACAUCGCCAUCACCGGCCUUGGGCUCGCCGCCGUUCAUACCCCGUUGCGUCACCACCCAGCCGUCUCCAGCCCACCGCCAGUCGCUGUUGUCUUCACCAAGGGAGGAGAGAGAAAAAGGCGAACGCGAGGAGAGAGAGAGAGAGGGAGCUCGCGAGGAAGCUGCCGCCUUCGAAGCUGGGUUCGUCGUUGCCGUUAGAGUCCGCAUCACUAUCGAACUUGCUGCUGUCACCGAGGGGAAGCCCGUCGCCGCCAGCUUCGUCGGGUCCCCGCCGCCGAGCCCGUCUUUGCCACCGCCACUGGAAGCGCGAAGAGAGAACGCGCGAGGGAAACUGUCGCAGAGCUGCCGUCGCCGCCGCGUUGCUGGGCUCGCCGUCGUCCUGCCCGCGCGGCUGCUGCGUUGCCGGAGCUCCUCGCCGCCGCUGUUGACGACGGAAACUGCCUUCCAAGCCUGUGUCUGUUGGUUAUACGGUCACCACGAGUUUCUCUGUCGCCGUCCAAGCUGCCACCAGAAGGAUCCACCACAGCCUCCUCUGUUCUUGUCUUCGAAUUAGAACUGCCCUUUUCCACUGAAUAUGUCUGUUUGAAAAAUUAAAAUGGGUGCUGCUGCCACCGGUUCGGUCACAUUGGAAUCACUGCUGCUGCCAUAAAACAGAAAGGGAAGGGAGUUACUAUGUUUAACCUGUGUGAAUUCAACUAGUUGAGGAACCGGAUGAAGAAGCAUUAAGAAGAGUUAUACUGCGUCUGGUUUAUAAGAUGUUGUAUUAAUUAGAUGUUUUCUCCCCUCGUCUUUGUUAUUACAAGUGUGUAAGAGGGAUAGGAAUUGUAUGUUUUAUAUGUAUAUUAUAUUAUGAGUUAUUAUGUAAAGAGUCUUGUAUAUGAAUCUAUGCCUGUUUGUAUUUUUCUUAAGAUAAAGUGUGUAUUUUUUUUGGUUCUUUUGAAGAAAUCAGCGAUACAGUGUCAGGCCACAGGCUCCUAUUUUAGUAUUUCGUAUGUAAAGUAGUCGUAAUACUUCUUCCUAUCAGAGUGGCGCAGCCGGAAGCGUGAGUUCU
Long non-coding RNA from Arachis stenosperma, 1481 nucleotides. RefSeq lists it as uncharacterized. NCBI's taxonomy places the organism in Eukaryota, Viridiplantae, Streptophyta, Magnoliopsida, Fabales, Fabaceae. The record is from RefSeq and is a predicted model, not a curated record. The transcript has 4 exons.